UACGUAGGGUGCAAGCGUUAAUCGGAAUUACUGGGCGUAAAGGGCUCGUAGGCGGCCAACUAAGUCAGACGUGAAAUCCCCAGGCUCAACCUGGGAACUGCGUCUGAUACUGGAUGGCUUGAAUCCGGGAGAGGGAUGCAGAAUUCCAGGUGUAGCGGUGAAAUGCGUAGAUAUCUGGAGGAAUACCGGUGGCGAAGGCGGCAUCCUGGACCGGCAUUGACGCUGAGGAGCGAAAGCUAGGGGAGCAAACGGG
This 253-nucleotide ribosomal RNA is filed under the name uncultured bacterium. RNAcentral's name for it is "partial 16S ribosomal RNA". It matches the Rfam family "Bacterial small subunit ribosomal RNA", at positions 524 to 776 of the family's 1533-position model. The record is from RNAcentral.